RNAcentral lists this ribosomal RNA (477 nucleotides) under uncultured bacterium. RNAcentral describes it as "partial 16S ribosomal RNA". It matches the Rfam family "Bacterial small subunit ribosomal RNA", at positions 30 to 507 of the family's 1533-position model. The record is from RNAcentral.
AUUGAACGCUGGCGGCAUGCCUUACACAUGCAAGUCGAACGGUAACAGGUUAAGCUGACGAGUUGCGAACGGGUGAGUAAUGUAUCGGAACGUGCCCAGGCGUGGGGGAUAACUGCUCGAAAGAGCAGCUAAUACCGCAUACGACCUGAGGGUAAAAGCGGGGGAUGGCAAGACCUCGCGCGAUUGGAGCGGCCGAUAUCAGAUUAGGUAGUUGGUGUGGUAAAGGCUCACCAAGCCGACGAUCUGUAGCUGGUCUGAGAGGACGACCAGCCACACUGGGACUGAGACACGGCCCAGACUCCUACGGGAGGCAGCAGUGGGGAAUUUUGGACAAUGGGCGCAAGCCUGAUCCAGCCAUGCCGCGUGCGGGAAGAAGGCCUUCGGGUUGUAAACCGCUUUUGUCAGGGAAGAAAAGGUUCUGGCUAAUACCUGGGACUCAUGACGGUACCUGAAGAAUAAGCACCGGCUAACUACGUG